RNAcentral lists this ribosomal RNA (2337 nucleotides) under Lactococcus lactis. RNAcentral's name for it is "bacterial LSU rRNA". It matches the Rfam family "Bacterial large subunit ribosomal RNA", at positions 1 to 2357 of the family's 2925-position model. Lineage: Bacteria; Bacillati; Bacillota; Bacilli; Lactobacillales; Streptococcaceae. The record is from RNAcentral.
AUGGCAAAGUUAAUAAGGGCGCACGGUGGAUGCCUUGGCACUAAGAGCCGAUGAAGGACGUGACUAACGACGAUAUUCUAGGGGGAGCAGUAAGUACGCAUUGAUCCCUAGGUCUCCGAAUGGGGAAACCCAGCUGCUACUAGCAGUUAUUCAUGAGUGAAUACAUAGCUCAUGUAAAGGUAACGCAGAGAACUGAAACAUCUAAGUACCUGCAGGAAGAGAAAGUAAAAACGAUUUCGUAAGUAGCGGCGAGCGAACGCGAAGAAGGGCAAACCAAGAAGCUUGCUUCUUGGGGUUGUAGGACUGCAACGUGGACUUAAGCAUUAUAGUCGAAUAACCUGGGAAGGUUAAUCAAAGAGGGUAAUAAUCCCGUAGACGAAAUAGCGCUUAUACCUAGCAGUAUCCUGAGUAGGGCUGGACACGCGAAAUCCAGUUUGAAUCCGGGAGGACCAUCUCCCAACCCUAAAUACUCCUUAGUGACCGAUAGUGAACCAGUACCGUGAGGGAAAGGUGAAAAGAACCCCGAGAGGGGAGUGAAAUAGCACCUGAAACCGUGUGCCUACAAGAAGUUCGAGCCCGUUAAUGGGUGAGAGCGUGCCUUUUGUAGAAUGAACCGGCGAGUUACGUUAUGAUGCGAGGUUAAGUUGAAGAGACGGAGCCGUAGGGAAACCGAGUCUGAAUAGGGCGACUUAGUAUCAUGAUGUAGACCCGAAACCUAGUGACCUAUCCAUGAGCAGGGUGAAGGUGUGGUAAGACGCACUGGAGGCCCGAACCAGGACACGUUGAAAAGUGUUUGGAUGACUUGUGGAUAGCGGAGAAAUUCCAAACGAACUGGGAGAUAGCUGGUUCUCUCCGAAAUAGCUUUAGGGCUAGCGUCGAAAUGUAAGUGUAUUGGAGGUAGAGCACUGUUUGGGUGAGGGGUCCGUCUAGGAUUACCAAUCUCAGAUAAACUCCGAAUGCUAAUACACAUGUUCGGCAGUCAGACUGCGAGUGCUAAGAUCCGUAGUCGAAAGGGAAACAGCCCAGACCAACAGCUAAGGUCCCAAAAUAUAUGUUAAGUGGAAAAGGAUGUGGGGUUGCACAGACAACUAGGAUGUUAGCUCAGAAGCAGCUAUCAUUCAAAGAGUGCGUAAUAGCUCACUAGUCGAGUGACCCUGCGCCGAAAAUGUACCGGGGCUAAACAUAUUACCGAAGCUUUGGAUUUAAUUUAAUUAAAUGGUAGGAGAGCGUUCUUAACCGCGAUGAAGGUAUACCGUGAGGAGUGCUGGAGCGUUAAGAAGUGAGAAUGCCGGUAUGAGUAGCGCAAGAUAAGUGAGAAUCUUAUCCACCGUAAGACUAAGGUUUCCAGGGGAAGGCUCGUCCGCCCUGGGUUAGUCGGGACCUAAGGCGAGGCCGAAAGGCGUAGUCGAUGGACAACUGGUUGAUAUUCCAGUACUAGAUAUGAUCGUGAUGGAGGGACGCAGUAGGCUAAGAGAUGCCAGUUAAUGGAUUCUGGUCUAAGCAGUGAGGUGUGAGAUGUGUCAAAUGCAUUUCUCUUUAACAUUGAGCUGUGAUGGGGAAGCAACUACGGUUGCGAACUCUCUGAUGUCACACUGCCAAGAAAAGCUUCUAGCGUAAAGUCAUAUCUACCCGUACCGCAAACCGACACAGGUAGUCGAGGCGAGUAGCCUCAGGUGAUCGAGAGAACUCUCGUUAAGGAACUCGGCAAAAUAGCCCCGUAACUUCGGGAGAAGGGGUGCUGGUGUAAAAGCCAGCCGCAGUGAAUAGGCCCAAGCAACUGUUUAUCAAAAACACAGCUCUCUGCUAAACCGCAAGGUGAUGUAUAGGGGGUGACGCCUGCCCGGUGCUGGAAGGUUAAGAGGAGUGCUUAGACGUAAGUCGAAGGUAUGAAUUGAAGCCCCAGUAAACGGCGGCCGUAACUAUAACGGUCCUAAGGUAGCGAAAUUCCUUGUCGGGUAAGUUCCGACCCGCACGAAAGGCGUAAUGAUUUGGGCACUGUCUCAACGAGAGACUCGGUGAAAUUUUAGUACCUGUGAAGAUGCAGGUUACCCGCGACAGGACGGAAAGACCCCAUGGAGCUUUACUGUAGUUUGAUAUUGAGUACCUGUAAGUCAUGUACAGGAUAGGUAGGAGCCAUUGAAAUAGGGACGCUAGUUUCUAUUGAGGCGUUGUUGGGAUACUACCCUUGACUUAUGGUUACUCUAACCCGCUGGCAUAAUCGGCCAGGGAGACAGUGUCUGACGGACAGUUUGACUGGGGCGGUCGCCUCCUAAAGAGUAACGGAGGCGCUCAAAGGUUGGCUCAGAUUGGUUGGAAAUCAAUCGUAGAGUGUAAAGG